GCGACCUUACGGUGGCCGAGAAAGCCCAACGCUGUGCAAAUUGAAAAGCAAAAAGCAGAAAAUACAUCCAUCAAAAUCACUGCAAAUCGAGAAACGCGCUUCAAAUACAACCACAACACAACGGAAUUUUCCCGGGGGACCUUAAAAGAUGCUGUACCAUCUAAACUACGUCUUCAGUAGCGUCUCGGACUUCACUGUGUGUACAGAGGACUAUAAAUGGCAAACAAGCUUCUGAAAAGUCAUGUUUUGCCCAUUUUGUGGAAAUGCUUUGGAGGAUAUUGGGACAUUCUGUCUGUCCUGUGGUGGGAAUAUUCCAUUUUUAAGAAAUGUUCAAAAUGACUGAGCCAGAAGGUGCACAAAUUCUCACUUGCAGUAAGGUCCCAGUGGAGGAGAUGGAAGGCCAUAAAGCUAAGGUAAUUUAAUACUGGAACAAGACAAGAGGAUCAAGU
Molecule: long non-coding RNA, 449 nt
Filed under: Astyanax mexicanus (Mexican tetra)
Lineage: Eukaryota; Metazoa; Chordata; Actinopteri; Characiformes; Acestrorhamphidae
Description: lncRNA (ENSAMXG00005025224.1)
Source: RNAcentral